AUACGUAGGUGACAAGCGUUAUCCGGAUUUACUGGGCGUAAAGGGCGUGUAGGCGGUCUUGCAAGUCAGAAGUGAAAUUCCUGAGCUCAACUCGGGCGCUGCUUCUGAAACUGCAGGACUUGAGUGCUGGAGGGGAUAGCGGAAUUCCUAGUGGAGCGGUAAACUGUGCAGAUAUUAGGAAGAACACCGGUGGCGAAGGCGGAUAUCUGGACAGUAACUGACGCUGAGGCGCGAAAGCGUGGGGAGCAAACAGGAUUAGAUACCCUGGUAGGCCACGCCGUAAACGAUGAAUACUAGGUGUAGGGGGUAUCGACUCCCUCUGUGCCGCAGUUAACACAAUAAGUAUUCCGGCUGGGGAGUACGGCCGCAAGAUUGAAACUCAAAGGAAUUGACGGGG
Molecule: ribosomal RNA, 397 nt
Filed under: uncultured bacterium
Lineage: Bacteria
Description: partial 16S ribosomal RNA
Rfam family: Bacterial small subunit ribosomal RNA
Source: RNAcentral